Long non-coding RNA from Canis lupus familiaris (dog), 597 nucleotides. RefSeq lists it as uncharacterized. The transcript has 4 exons. The record is from RefSeq and is a predicted model, not a curated record. Lineage: Eukaryota; Metazoa; Chordata; Mammalia; Carnivora; Canidae.
GGCCUAGGCACCCAUUUUAGCUCAGCCCCGCGAAUGAGACAAGAAAAGUCCAGGCCUCAGGAACUCCAGUCUUGCUGGGGAGGAAAAUCAGCCCCGUCAUUUUGCACAAGUCGUGCUGCCCGGGGACGCCCGAGGACGGACAGCCAGGACACCUCCUCAUGGCCACCACCCCUAUGAGAUCACACUGCCGGAGCCACCCAGGGCCUUGGCACCCGAUCGCAGUCUUCCUUCUCCCAAACGCCUGCAUGUCCCGGGGGGACGUCGGCAUCCUCGUCCACGUCUUCCCUUUUAUUACCAGGAGUAAUAUUAACAGUUCGCUGAGCUUCAUGCCGAGCACAGCAGAUUUGGAGAAAGCCCUAAGAACCAGCAGCAUAAAGUCAUAGAAUGCUGGAACUGGGGGAGAAACCUUUAUUUGCUCCAAGUUAAUAAACACGUAUGGGGGAUCUCCUAGGUCUUGGGGAUUCAAAAGCACACUGUUCCAGUCUUCAGGGGCUCAGUCCCCACUCCACAGCAAUGAUGAGAACUUGGCCAAUGAAUAACGGUUGUAUGAGGUUAGAGUGGGCUCUGGUUAACUCUUUUGGGGUGGGGAGAGAACCA